AAACGCCUGAUGCAGCAACGCCGCGUGAGUGAUGAAGGUUUUUCGGAUCGUAAAACUCUGUCCUCAAGGAAGAUAAUGACGGUACUUGAGGAGGAAGCCCCGGCUAACUACGUGCCAGCAGCCGCGGUAAUACGUAGGGGGCUAGCGUUAUCCGGAUUUACUGGGCGUAAAGGGUGCGUAGGCGGUCUUUCAAGUCAGAAGUUAAAUUCUACGGCUCAACCGUAGCCAGCUUUUGAAACUGGAAGACUUGAGUGCAGGAGAGGAGAGUAGAAUUCCUAGUGUAGCGGUGAAAUGCGUAGAUAUUAGGAGGAAUACCAGCUUGCGAAGGCGGCUCUCUGGACUGUAACUGACGCUGAGGCACGAAAGCGUGGGGAGCGAACAGGAUUAGAUACCCUGGUAGUCCACGCCGUAAACGAUGAGUACUAGGUGUCGGGGGGUUACCCCCCUCGG
Molecule: ribosomal RNA, 450 nt
Filed under: uncultured Clostridium sp.
Lineage: Bacteria; Bacillati; Bacillota; Clostridia; Eubacteriales; Clostridiaceae
Description: bacterial SSU rRNA
Rfam family: Bacterial small subunit ribosomal RNA
Source: RNAcentral